GAUGAAGAACGUAGCGAAAUGCGAUAAGUAAUGCGAAUUGCAGAAUUCCGUGAGUCAUCGAAUCUUUGAACGCACAUUGCGCCCUCUGGUAUUCCGGAGGGCAUGCCUGUCUGAGCGUCAUUGUCAACCCUCAAGCUCAGCUUGCUGUUGGGUCCCCGUCGUUGCUUUAACGGCGGACCCGAAAGGUAAUGGCAGAGUCCGUGAGACCCUAGACGCAGCGAGCUUCUAGCACGCGUCUGGACGUUUGUCGGGCUCGGUCUUAACUAGAUGAUAACUUCCGAUUGACCUCAGAUCAGGUAGGGAUACCCGCUGAACUUAAGCAUAUCAAUAAGCGGAGGA
Molecule: unclassified non-coding RNA, 339 nt
Filed under: soil metagenome
Description: partial contains 5.8S ribosomal RNA, internal transcribed spacer 2, and large subunit ribosomal RNA
Rfam family: 5.8S ribosomal RNA (bases 1-120)
Source: RNAcentral